UACACUCUUAAUUUAACUGCACUAUAUCAGACCCUUUUUAGUGGUCUUAAAAUCGGGGGAUUACUGCAUGUUUUUCUGUUGUGUCCUUUUUCUUGGCACCUGCUGCAUUUGUUUUGAAUUUUGAUUUCAGAUCCGUGUUUGUACCUCUCUUUUUUUGGUCUUCCUGCUGCCCUUCUUGUGUUGGGUGGUUUUAUACAUAUGUUUUUUACUUCUU
RNAcentral lists this long non-coding RNA (214 nucleotides) under Panax ginseng (ginseng). RNAcentral describes it as "long non-coding RNA (PGIN_LNC005360)". The record is from RNAcentral. Lineage: Eukaryota; Viridiplantae; Streptophyta; Magnoliopsida; Apiales; Araliaceae.